This 458-nucleotide ribosomal RNA is filed under the name uncultured bacterium. RNAcentral's name for it is "bacterial SSU rRNA". It matches the Rfam family "Bacterial small subunit ribosomal RNA", at positions 340 to 793 of the family's 1533-position model. The record is from RNAcentral.
UACGGGAGGCAGCAGUGGGAAUAUUGCACAAUGGGCGCAAGCCUGAUGCAGCCAUGCCGCGUGUAUGAAGAAGGCCUUCGGGUUGUAAAGUACUUUCAGCAGUGAGGAAGUGGGUAUGUUAAUAGCAUAUUCAUUUGACGUUAGCUGCAGAAGAAGCACCGGCUAACUCCGUGCCAGCAGCCGCGGUAAUACGGAGGGUGCGAGCGUUAAUCGGAAUUACUGGGCGUAAAGCGCAUGCAGGUGGUUUGUUAAGUCAGAUGUGAAAGCCCGGGGCUCAACCUCGGAAUUGCAUUUGAAACUGGCAAACUAGAGUACUGUAGAGGGGGUAGAAUUUCAGGUGUAGCGGUGAAAUGCGUAGAGAUCUGAAGGAAUACCGGUGGCGAAGGCGGCCCCCUGGACAGAUACUGACACUCAGAUGCGAAAGCGUGGGGAGCAAACAGGAUUAGAUACCCUGGUAG